This 338-nucleotide ribosomal RNA is filed under the name uncultured bacterium. RNAcentral describes it as "bacterial SSU rRNA". It matches the Rfam family "Bacterial small subunit ribosomal RNA", at positions 28 to 383 of the family's 1533-position model. The record is from RNAcentral.
GAUGAACGCUGGCGGCGUGGAUAAGGCAUGCAAGUCAAGGGGAGCCGAUGUUAUAAUCGGUUAACCGGCGAACGAGUUAGUAAUACCCUGGUACAUACCCUGAAGUUGGGCAUAGCCAGCCGAAAGGUUGGAUAAUUCCCAAUAGUUCUCGCGAGAGUAAAGAAGCAAUUCGCUUCAGGAUUGGCCUAGGUCCGAUCAGCUAGUUGGUAAGGUAAUGGCUUACCAAGGCAAUGACCGGUAGGAGGGGUGAGAGCCCGAUCUCCAACGACGAAACUGAGACACGGUUCGUACACCUACGGGUGGCAGCAGUCGAGAAUAUUCCACAAUGGGCGAAAGCC